UGUUGAGUGAGGAAAAGUAAAAGCGCUUGGAGUGUGUGUGUGUGUGUGUGUGUGUGUGUGUGUGUGUUUCCACGUUCAGACAAAUGAAAGGUGGAGCAGUGGUGAGAGAGAGCAGACAGUCCAUUGAAUUUGGACCCACAAAGGCCCCCUGCAAGAGCUGCUGGUGUUUGCUCCCAAAUUGCAGAGUACAUGAAGACAAUGUGUUUCCUGCUUUCCAGGGCAUAGGUUAGUACUCAUGGCCCUGGGCCUGGGCAUUCAGCCACAUCUGUUGGCCCUGCCACGUACUCAGGGGUGGGAGGGGAAAGCAACUUCUGGGAAUGGCUUCCUGUUCCCUGCUCCUGGAGCUAAGUCCAAGAAAAGAAAAAGAAACCAAUUUCACCUUUUCCUCUAAACGUCAUUGUUAUUGACACAACCGUCUGCAAUGAUCAAUUAAGCAAAUCUGAAGACUCAAAUGCUUUUAUGCUUCUUAUUUAAAAGUUGCUUAGAAUUUAUUCCCUAAUUCCAGAUGAGUUACCAAAAGAGAACGUUUAAGUGACUUCUCCAAGAUCACUGGACAAGGGGGUGGGUCCAACCCCUACAUACGUAGCACAUACAACUGGCCUGAUUGGAGGGACCAUCCAAGAAUCUUCCUCCUCCAUAUUCUCACACAACUCUCUGCCCCUUUGCAAGUGCCUACACUUUCCAGAAUUGAGAGUCAUUCCUCAGUGUCUUGAGAGUCCCUUUAUUCAAGUCCAAAUCCUAGGGCAGGAAUUGCACUUGAGCUUUUAUCAACAAUUUACCUAGUGGAACCUUCUGCCUCAUACCUCUUUCUGAGACAGAUGUCUGGAAGCCAGGCCUUCUGGGGAUAAGGCAGGAAUGGGAUGCUUCACCCUAUUGUGGGAGAAGAGAAGACUGGAGAUGGGAAUUUGCCAAAAACAAACCUUGUUAGGGGCCUGUGCUGCUUCCAGCUGGAUAGCUAUCCCACACUGCAGCUUUAUUAAUUAAUCUUCCUCUUGGGAGUGUGUUUUAAGUACCAAGCAAUAAAAUAGUCUGGGAGUUGACAUGUUUAAUUAAAUUGAGGUUUAUUUCAACUUAUUUACUAUCUUCACUGAUUCUUUUACCUAUCUCUGGUCCCCAAACAUAAGCAGCCCCAAGGACUGGCCCUGGCUCCUUUUUUCUAUACACUGUUAAUUUGGAUCACUCUCACUCUUUCAGGUUUAAGAAUCACAAUUGGGAGGCCAUACCUCCCAAGUUUGUCACUAAUUCAGGAGCCAACAAACUUUCUCUGUAAAGGGCCAGAUAGUAAAUUUGUCAGGCUUUGCAGGCCAUGCAAUCUAUUGCAACCACUCAACUCUCCUAUUGCAGCAUGAAAUCAGCCAAAGACCAUAUGUCAAUGAAUGGGCAUGGCUGUGUUCCAAUAAACUUUAUGAACAUUGAGAUUUCAAUUUCAUGUAAUUUUCACUUGUCACAAUAUAUUAUUCUUUGGAUUUUUUUUUUCCCAACCACUUGACAGUGUGAAAACUAUUCUCUAGCUCAUGGACCUUAGAAAAGCAGGCAGUCAACCUCUGUUCUGACCAAUACCUUUCUCCAAGUUCCAGGCCUCCUGCUCUCAAAAAUGCCCUCAGACUUGAAGUUUCUAAUAUGAAAAUUGCUCUGUCUUUUACCCACCCCACAAAACAGCUGUUCUUCUUGACUUCUUUGUCUUAGGAUACCAGAAUUCUCCCAGAGUCCCAGCUGGAACUCCAAGGGUUUCCUUGGUUUCCACUUGUCAUCCCUUAUGCCAAACCAGUACCCCAAUCCCAUUGCUGACCCACAUGCAAUGCAUCCAGCAUCUGUCUCUCUCUCUCCUGUCCUCAAAGUUCUGUAUAUCCAAAUUAAUUUUCCUAAAGCAAGAUUUUUAUUAAAGAACACACUUCAAGGUCUCUACUGUUUCCUGCACACAGUAACCCAGCCUGCAGCACCCUGCACUUAUAUAUAUAUGCAGUUUUCCCUUUGAGGGAGUUUUCUAGUUUCAUCUUCCACUAUUUUCCUACACAGAUUUUCUGUGCAAACAAAAAUGACUUGCCUUCAACAGGUGAAAUUAACAUGCUGGGGUCAGGCAGGGAGUUCCUACCUCUAUGCCUUUCUUCUUGAUCUUUUCUUCUGUGAAAUCCUUUUCCUGCACCCCUGGACCUAUCAAAAAGUUCAUGACCAACCAUACUGAGAUACCACUUCACUUAUACUAGGGUGGCUAUCAUAAAAAGACUGACAAUAACAAGACUUGACAAGGAUGUGGAGAAAUUGGAACCCUCCUAUGCUGUUAGUUGAAAUGUAAAAUAAUACAGCUGCUUUGGAAAAACAAUCUGGCAGUUCCUCAAAAGGUUAAACAUAGAGUUACCAUAUGACCCAGCAAUUCUACUCCUAGAUAUACACUAAAGCAAAAUGAAAACAUAUGUCCACAUAAAAACCUGUACACAAAUAUUAGUAGCAUUAUUCACAAUAGCCAAAAAGUAAAAACAUCCCAAAUGUCUGACAACUGAUGAAUGGAUAAACAAAAUGUGGUCUAUUUAUACAAUGAGAUAUUAUUAGUACAAAAAAUGGAGCUGGGCACGGUGGCUCACACUUGUAAUCCCAGCACUUUGGGAGGCCGAGCUGGUCGGAUCAUGCGGUCAGGAGAUGGAGACCAUCCUGGCUAACAUGGUGAAACCCCAUCUCUACUAAAAAUACAAAAAAUUAGCUGUGUGUGAUGGCACGCGCCUGUAAUCCUAGCUACUCGGGAGGCUGAGGUAGGAGAAUUGCUUGAACCCGGGAGGCAGAGGUUGCAGUGAGCCAAGAUCAUGCCACUGCACUCCAGCCUGGGCAACAGAGACUCUAUCUCAAAGAAGAAGAAAAAGAAAAAUGGAAUGAAGUUUUGAUACAUGCUAUAAUAUGGAUGGACCUUGACACCAUUAUGCUAAGGAAAAGAUGUCAGACACAAAUCCCCACAUGUCAUAUGAUCCUAUUACUAUGAAAUGUCCAGAACAGAAAAAACUAUAGAACUUGAAAGUAGAUUUGUGAUGGGCUGGGGUGGGAGUGAGGGGUCAAGAGAAAAUGGGAGUGACUGCUAAUGAGUAGAAGGUUUAUUUUAAGGUUGAUGAACUAUUUGAAAAUUGAUUGUGGUGAUGUUUGCACAACCCUGUGAAUACACUAAAAAUCAUUGAAUUGCAACUUUAAGUGAAUUGUAUGGCAUAUGAAUUAAAACUCAAUAUAUAUUUUUAAAAGGCUCGUGGCCAAACCAGAUCAUUGUAAUUUGACCUUUAAAAAUAUUAUUUUUAUUUUGUAACUAUCUGUUUUAUUCACUUGACAUUAUAUUUUACUUUGUAAUUUUUUUCUGCCUAUAUUUUAAUUUUCCAACUACACUGUAAACUCAUACUUUCAUAUACGUGUGGGUGUAUGUAUAUAAAUAUGCUUGUGUUUGUUGAUUUAAUUCAGGAGACAAUUCUGAGUAGUCAAAAUAAAGUACAAUAAUUUAAAUUACUAGAGCUGAAGACUAUAGGAUGUCAACUGUGGAUACAACUCACAAGCUACCAUAUUGAUGUGACAUGAUGAAGUGGGAAGGAAAGCCAUCUGGAGUUUCACUGGUGAAUUGAUACAUCUUGCACUUAACAUUGUGUAUCCCCUGGACUUUGAUCAAAUGGACAUGGGCUUUCUGAUCUACUGCAGAGUGCCUGGAAAUUCAGGCUCCUAGGAGGAAGGAACUUGCAUUAUCUCAGGUGAGACUUUGGACUUGGACUUUUGGAUUAAUGCUGGAGUGAUAUAAGACUUUGGGGGACUGUUGGGAAGGCCUGAUUGUGUUUUGAAAUGUGAGAACAUGAGAUUUGAGAGGGUCCAGGGGUGGAAUGAUAUGGUUUGGCUGUGACCCCACCCAAAUCUCAUCUUGAAUUGUAAUCCCGAUAAUCCCACCUGUUGAGAAGGGGCCUGGUAAAUGAUGGGAUCAUGGAGGCAUUUUCCCCCAUGCUGUUCUCAUGAUAGUGAGUUCUCAGGAGAUCUGAUGGUUUUAUAAAUGGCAGUUUCCCCUAAGCUUUUCUCUCUCUUCUGCUGCCUUGUGAAGAGGUACUUGCUUCUCCUUCACCUUCCAUCAUGAUUGUAAGUUUCCUGAGGCCUCCCCAGCCAUGUGGAACUGUGAGUCAAUUAAACCUGUUUCCUUUAUAAAUAAGUCAGUCUCAGCUACUUCUUUAUAGCAGUGUGAGAAUGGAGUAAUAAACCAUCCAUGACAAUAUUCUUUGAUUUUUACCUGGUUCACUAAUUUUAACUUAGUUAUAAUUUUAAAUAAUUAUAAGUAAAGAUCCUUCCUGAUUUCCAGGUGAUAAACUGGGGCACAGAAUCGUUAUUCAGUCCAGAAAGAGGAAGAAAAAUAACCCAGGGGGAUGCCAGUCUGAGGCAGCCACUUCCAGAGACUGUGGGCCAGCUCUGAGAAAUGUCCAGAUUAGAUAAACUGUAUCUGGAAAGAUAAUCUUGUCCCAUGACUGCAACAGACCACUUGAAUUUACCUGCCUGGUUUAUUCAGAUUUUAUGCCUAGAAAUCCCCGGAAUACACCAGAAAAUCCCAAGUUGUUCUGAGACUGAGUACCUAAAGUUGCUGGGUCAAGAGAGUAUUUUUUUAAAUGAAAGACACUUGAACAUAUCUCUAUAUUAAGUGGUAGAGGCAGAAGAGAGAAAGCAAUUAAAGAUAGAGGAGAAACAAUAGCCACAAGCUAGAAACAACUCAACCAUCAUGAAAAUGCUUAAACAAAAACUGCUGCAUCCAUACAAUGGAAUACAACUCAGUAAUAAAAAGGCACAAUCAACUGCUGCUACCCACAAAAUGGAUGACUUGUAAAAUCAUUAUGCUGAGUAAAAAAGCCAGACACAAAACAGUACGUACUACAUAAGUACACUUACGUGAAAUUCUAGAAAAUGCAAACUAAUUUAUAGUGACAGAAAGGAGAUCAGUGGUUGUCUAAGGUUAGAAGCAGAGAGAAAGGAAUGAACAGCAAAGAGGCACAAGGAAACUUUUGGAGGUG
This 5000-nucleotide long non-coding RNA is filed under the name Homo sapiens (human). Its description in RNAcentral is "HSALNT0280279". The record is from RNAcentral. Lineage: Eukaryota; Metazoa; Chordata; Mammalia; Primates; Hominidae.